RNAcentral lists this transfer RNA (68 nucleotides) under Marmota monax (woodchuck). Its description in RNAcentral is "tRNA.Ala". The record is from RNAcentral. Lineage: Eukaryota; Metazoa; Chordata; Mammalia; Rodentia; Sciuridae.
GGAUUGUGGCUCAGCGGUAGAGUACUUGACUAGCAUGUACAAGGCCCUGGGUUUGAUCCUCAGCACCA